GACGAACGCUGGCGGCGUGCUUAACACAUGCCAGUCGAACGGAAAGGCCCUGCUUUUGUGGGGUGCUCGAGUGGCGAACGGGUGAGUAACACGUGAGUAACCUGCCCUUGACUUUGGGAUAACUUCAGGAAACUGGGGCUAAUACCGGAUAGGAGCUCCUGCUGCAUGGUGGGGGUUGGAAAGUUUCGGCGGUUGGGGAUGGACUCGCGGCUUAUCAGCUUGUUGGUGGGGUAGUGGCUUACCAAGGCUUUGACGGGUAGCCGGCCUGUGAGGGUGACCGGCCACAUUGGGACUGAGAUACGGACCAGACUCCUACGGGAGGCAGCGGUGGGGAAUAUUGCACAAUGGGCGGAAGCCUGAUGCAGCAACGCCGCGUGCGGGAUGACGGCCUUCGGGUUGUAAACCGCUUUCGCCUGUGACGAAGCGUGAGUGACGGUAAUGGGUAAAGAAGCACCGGCUAACUACGUG
RNAcentral lists this ribosomal RNA (468 nucleotides) under uncultured bacterium. RNAcentral's name for it is "partial 16S ribosomal RNA". It matches the Rfam family "Bacterial small subunit ribosomal RNA", at positions 28 to 507 of the family's 1533-position model. The record is from RNAcentral.